RNAcentral lists this ribosomal RNA (253 nucleotides) under uncultured bacterium. RNAcentral's name for it is "partial 16S ribosomal RNA". It matches the Rfam family "Bacterial small subunit ribosomal RNA", at positions 524 to 776 of the family's 1533-position model. The record is from RNAcentral.
UACGUAGGGGGCAAGCGUUGUCCGGAAUCAUUGGGCGUAAAGAGCGUGUCGGCGGCUUGGCAAGUCUCGCGUGAAAUCCUGCGGCUCAACCGCAGGCGGUCGCGGGAAACUGCCUCGCUAGAGUCCGGAAGAGGAGAGUGGAAUUCCUGGUGUAGCGGUGGAAUGCGCAGAUAUCAGGAAGAACACCCGUGGCGAAGGCGGCUCUCUGGGACGGUACUGACGCUGAGACGCGAAAGCGUGGGGAGCGAACAGG